RNAcentral lists this long non-coding RNA (263 nucleotides) under Medicago truncatula (barrel medic). Its description in RNAcentral is "lncRNA gene3332". The stretch from base 148 to 263 matches the Rfam family "Small nucleolar RNA Z278". The record is from RNAcentral. Lineage: Eukaryota; Viridiplantae; Streptophyta; Magnoliopsida; Fabales; Fabaceae.
AUGUACCCUAAUUAGCAUAGGAUAUUUCAAUUUUUCUUUCUCAAUUUACGUGCAAAAUCGAUGCCAUUCGUGUUGCAGUUCAUCUCGAUAAUUCCAUGAUUCAUCUGUGUCAAAGUAAUGGCUACAUCGUUCAAUAACAUAUUAAUUACCUAUGAUGAAAUAAUCCAACUUGUUUGAGGUGUUGUGGAGCCAAGCCCCUGUUUUCAGGGAGAACCUACUUGGUGAAGCUUCAUUCAAAUGACAUCAAUGGAUUUAACUGAGGC